CGAUAUAAAACCGACGUCGCUGCAUUAUGACGUCCUUCGUGGAGACGGUUCCGUAGCGGUAGCCUUUCCACCUCGACAUGAGAGCCAAGUGGAGAAAGAAGCGCAUGCGCAGGCUGAAGCGCAAAAGGAGAAAGAUGAGGCAAAGGUCCAAGUAAGCCGUCCCCUCCGCCAUGGCUGCGACAUCACAUGUUGCCAGGAACCAGACUGGUGAGCGCAGCCGGAGACUCGGGACUUCCAUGUGUCUGGUGUGAGGCCAGUUGCAUCCACCACACCCAACCAGAGGCAUCGAAGCAGCAGCUGACAGAAGACUGAUGUUGGAGAAGUGUUUCAACACCCGUCGGAUGUCAGGCUUUUCCUCUGGCACGUUCUGGACUCUUUUGCUUUUAAUUCCUCAACUUUUGUCAUUCGUUUUUGUUUAUACUGUGAUUAAAGGUUUUGGUUUAUAAAAUGAAUUUACAGAUUUCAUGUGUAUUUGUUCAGGUAACCUACAAGGUCACUUACUAACCAAACCUGGAAACAACACUGACUGAAGAGAGAAACUGGUAGUAGAAGAUGUAAUCUCCACUUGAACAUCAUUUGAACAUCACACAUAAAACUCAUGAUCCUGUGACACCAACUUCUGCUUCUGUUGCAGAAGAAAAAAGCUGCUUUGUCAUUGUUCAAGUUACAUUACUGAUUACUUGGUGAUGCAGUUGUUUAUGUGUGCUCGGAGGCAUUUUGGUUAUUCAUGCCAGUUUUAGUCACCGCUGAAAGUCCAAAUGUCAGAAGCUAAUAAUUAGUGAACAUUAGAGCAAGUAUGAAAUUAAAUAACAUAGUUUAUAGAUGACAAAAUAUUGCUAUUGGCUGGUUUGUUGUGAUGUGAUUGAUCACUUUUAAACGGAGACACCACAUGGAUAAAUUCUGUCUCAUCAGCUGGCACAUUUAGGAGCAAAUAAACUCAUUGACGAUUGUUUCAUUUGUUUGUAAUUUUUAUUUUUUUCAUUUUUUUUGUGCUAAGAUUGCAGUGGUUUGUAGAAAUCACAAGCAGACCAGAAAGGAGAUGCUGCUUAAUAUCUCUUGCAAGGAAAUAUUGGUGUCUUUAUGAUCACAGACAGAAUGCAAUAACGAAAAGACAACUGUAAAUACUAAAAUAUGCAUGUCAGAAUGUGGAAAGUUAUAAAAUGAUUUGCAUAUAGUGAUAAUGGUGAGAAUAUAGCUGCAAGAGUAGUGGGAUUAUUAAAAUUUAUUGCACUUAUUGCAACAUUUUGAGCUUGAUCUCUGCAUUUCUUGGAAUCUCACAUCACACUGAAAUCUCGCAGUAUUUUAAACAUAUAAGACGUUGUUGCCUUCAGUCCAUGUGACUCACAGAACCUGUCUGUUGUCAUGUUCUUCAUGCAGCAUAUCUGUGUGCACAAGUGAUCAUCUAACUCUUCACCCUCCGAGCAAAUACAGAUAACCGGCCGUAUCCAGGCAACAGGGAGGCUAUUUAAAGCUUGCCUGUUUUCUAGAAAGGCAUAAAUGAGGCUAUUAAUGAGAGCCGACAGUGAAAACACCAUGGAUACCAAAUUCUGCAGUAUGUUGUUUUUU
Amphiprion ocellaris (clown anemonefish) is the source of this 1566-nucleotide long non-coding RNA. The record is from Ensembl. Lineage: Eukaryota; Metazoa; Chordata; Actinopteri; Pomacentridae.